This 245-nucleotide ribosomal RNA is filed under the name uncultured bacterium. Its description in RNAcentral is "partial 16S ribosomal RNA". It matches the Rfam family "Bacterial small subunit ribosomal RNA", at positions 15 to 239 of the family's 1533-position model. The record is from RNAcentral.
GAUCCUGGCUCAGGAUGAACGCUGGCGGCGUGCUUAACACAUGCAAGUCGAACGAAGAUACUUAAAAUGAGAGCUUCGGCAGGAUUUUUAUUUAUCUUAGUGGCGGACGGGUGAGUAACGUGUGGGCAACCUGCCCUAUACUGGGGAAUAAUCACUGGAAACGGUGACUAAUACCGCAUAAGCCCACGGCUCGGCAUCGAGCAGAGGGAAAAGGAGCAAUCCGCUUUGAGAUGGCCUCGCGUCCG